GUGGGUGGAUGCAUGUGGGGGAUGGCGCUGAGGAGGCGGACCCCGGCAGAGGGCUGCGGCACCAGGAGAGAGACACAGGGCAGUAAGGUCCUGGCAGCCCGAAGGGGUUGGGAGGCAUCAGGCACCAGCUGGAGGCGGGAUGAAGGGUUCUUCCUUAGAAAAGCGAUCAUGGUCAAGAAAAAGUUGAAUCACAUCCCCUGUGAAAGGUUUGUCACAGUUCUAACUCGAGGCUCCUGACAGCAUGACUUCACAUGGAAAUAGUCUCUGCAGAUGUGAUCAAGAUGUCACCCUGGAGCACAGUGGGUCCUGAGCUGAGGUGACUGGUGUCCUUAUAGUGAGAACAGACAGACUGCAUAGGAACAGGGUUACCAUGCGAAGACAGAGCCAGACCGCACGCAAGGACAGGAGGGGACUGGAGCCAGAAGAUUCCGACAACACGAGGACCAAGAAGAAGGCCUGGGACAGAUUCCCUCAGAGCCUCAGACAGAACCAGUCCUGCUGACGCCUUCACUUCCACCUCCCGUCAAACACACCAGGGUGGCUGGACUCUGGGACUCUGCCUCUGGCUUCCUGUGGGACACCCUCAAGACUAAUUCUUAGCAGCCUCUCCCGAGAAACCAGGUCCUGUUCUUCGUCCCUCAGCCCUGUCCAGCCCUGUUGAGAUCGGAGCCGGCCUGCUAAACACUAACCUCUUAGCUCUGCUUCUGCAGACGCUUGUCACUGUGCAGGUGACUGCUCAGUUGCCCCUGGGCAGCUUCCCCCUCAGGUGAGGCUCCCUGUUGGGUGUCCUGCCCCUGCUCCUCCCAUUCCCUACCAAGUCCUGCUAGGAGUCAGCAUCCGAAUUAGGGCAGUUGGUGCGGGAGCUCAGCUUUGCUGCCCGCUGGAGCAAGGGUGGAGACCAAACUAAAGACAAUCAGAUGGGCACCACCACACGGAGGAAGAUGUUGGUAACCUCACUGCACAGCACAGUGCUCUUCUCCUUCUAGAUGUGGCACACAGAGUGUGACUGCUGUCCUGAGUCCACGGCUGAUCCAGCGCCGAGGCUCCGCCCUGACUGCAGGGACCACUCAGUCUGCCCUUGGGGACCUGUUCUGCCAGAGGGUGCACCCGAGGUAGACACA
Molecule: long non-coding RNA, 1121 nt
Filed under: Fukomys damarensis (Damara mole-rat)
Lineage: Eukaryota; Metazoa; Chordata; Mammalia; Rodentia; Bathyergidae
Description: lncRNA (ENSFDAG00000030602.1)
Source: RNAcentral